RNAcentral lists this unclassified non-coding RNA (1000 nucleotides) under Polistes canadensis. Its description in RNAcentral is "uncharacterized LOC106792229, transcript variant X1". The record is from RNAcentral. Lineage: Eukaryota; Metazoa; Arthropoda; Insecta; Hymenoptera; Vespidae.
UUGGAUGUUUUUUAAUAACAAUGUGCAGGAUUACGAAUGAUAUAGAGCCUCUACAUUUUUUAAUUUUUUAGGUUAAUACAUUUAGGUUAUAAAAUAAACAAAUAGUAAGAAAUAAAAUCUAAAUGGGUGCGACAUCCUUGUUAGUGGUAUUAAGAAUAAAACCUUUGCUACGAGUGAAUUGUUAUUUGUCAAGUUUAUUAAAUAAUAAUUAUCAAGAACAAUUGGUAAGAGGAAAUCAAAAUAUUUUACGUUAUUGUAUGAAAGUUCCUAACACCGAGGGUAACGUACAUGAUUUUCCUAAAAAGAAAAAACCGAAAACAAUGAUUAUACCUAAAAUAACACUUUUAUUGUCAAAAGAUUCUAUGACAGUUAUAACUUUGGAGGAAGCACAAAAACUUGCAAAACGUCGGAAUUUAAUAUUAAUCAAAGUAGAUGAUGAACAGAAAUGUUCAUCUAAAGACACUUACAAACUUGUAGAACCAACGGAACAUUUGAAAGAGUCUAAAAUUAAAGAUAAAGGUGAUACAAAAAAUAAUGAUAUUAAAUCGAUAAAGCUCAUACAAUUAUCUGCUAAAAUAUCCAUGUAUGACACUGAGAUCAAAUUGAAAAACGUCAAUAGAUUGUUAAAAAAAAGGCAUAAGGUCAAAUUAAUCAUUAAUUAUGAUUCCGAAAUACCGGAUAAAAUAUUGAAAUACGUUGAGUCGUCUAUAAAACAACAUGGAACGAUACAAAAAUCUAUGCAAUCAUUGCGUGCAGUGCUUUUAAUUACUCCCAUAUUAAAUAAAAAUGACAAUACGAAUGAUAAUUCGCAUGAUAUAAAUGUGAACACGGAAGAAAAAUGACUAGUAAAUUCUAAUUGUAUAUAAAACGAGUAAACUAUUUGUCAAUAUUUUCAUUGGAUAUGUUAAUUUAAUUAUCCUUAACAAUGUAAUACUGUUACGGUUUAAAUUAAUUAAGAAUAUACAAUAGAUAGAAGCUAGAAAACGAAUAUUUGAACAGU